UGCAAGUCGAGCGGUAAGGCCUUUCGGGGUACACGAGCGGCGAACGGGUGAGUAACACGUGGGUGAUCUGCCCUGCACUCUGGGAUAAGCUUGGGAAACUGGGUCUAAUACCGGAUAUGACCGCAGCAUGCAUGUGUUGUGGUGGAAAGAUUUAUCGGUGCAGGAUGGGCCCGCGGCCUAUCAGCUUGUUGGUGGGGUAAUGGCCUACCAAGGCGACGACGGGUAGCCGACCUGAGAGGGUGACCGGCCACACUGGGACUGAGACACGGCCCAGACUCCUACGGGAGGCAGCAGUGGGGAAUAUUGCACAAUGGGCGGAAGCCUGAUGCAGCGACGCCGCGUGAGGGAUGAAGGCCUUCGGGUUGUAAACCUCUUUCAGCAGGGACGAAGCGUGAGUGACGGUACCUGCAGAAGAAGCACCGGCUAACUACGUGCCAGCAGCCGCGGUAAUACGUAGGGUGCGAGCGUUGUCCGGAAUUACUGGGCGUAAAGAGUUCGUAGGCGGUUUGUCGCGUCGUUUGUGAAAACCCGGGGCUCAACUUCGGGCUUGCAGGCGAUACGGGCAGACUUGAGUGUUUCAGGGGAGACUGGAAUUCCUGGUGUAGCGGUGAAAUGCGCAGAUAUCAGGAGGAACACCGGUGGCGAAGGCGGGUCUCUGGGAAACAACUGACGCUGAGGAACGAAAGCGUGGGUAGCAAACAGGAUUAGAUACCCUGGUAGUCCACGCCGUAAACGGUGGGCGCUAGGUGUGGGUUCCUUCCACGGGAUCUGUGCGUAGCUAACGCAUUAAGCGCCCCGCCUGGGGAGUACGGCCGCAAGGCUAAACUCAAAGGAAUUGACGGGGGCCCGCACAAGCGGCGGAGCAUGUGGAUUAAUUCGAUGCAACGCGAAGAACCUUACCUGGGUUUGACAUACAC
Molecule: ribosomal RNA, 917 nt
Filed under: Rhodococcoides fascians
Lineage: Bacteria; Bacillati; Actinomycetota; Actinomycetes; Mycobacteriales; Nocardiaceae
Description: bacterial SSU rRNA
Rfam family: Bacterial small subunit ribosomal RNA
Source: RNAcentral